UACAGAGGGUGCGAGCGUUAAUCGGAAUUACUGGGCGUAAAGCGCGCGUAGGCGGCUUUGCAAGCCGGAUGUGAAAUCCCCGGGCUUAACCUGGGAACUGCAUUCGGGACUGCAUUGCUAGAGUAUGGGAGAGGGAAGUGGAAUUUCAGGUGUAGCGGUGAAAUGCGUAGAUAUCUGAAGGAACAUCAGUGGCGAAAGCGACUUCCUGGACCAAUACUGACGCUGAUGAGCGAAAGCUAGGGGAGCAAACGGG
RNAcentral lists this ribosomal RNA (253 nucleotides) under uncultured bacterium. RNAcentral describes it as "partial 16S ribosomal RNA". It matches the Rfam family "Bacterial small subunit ribosomal RNA", at positions 524 to 776 of the family's 1533-position model. The record is from RNAcentral.